Molecule: long non-coding RNA, 1919 nt
Organism: Mytilus californianus (California mussel)
Lineage: Eukaryota; Metazoa; Mollusca; Bivalvia; Mytilida; Mytilidae
Exons: 4
Source: RefSeq, a predicted model, not a curated record
UAAUCUGGUUUUUGUCGAGCCUGCGACUUUUGUCGCAGAAAGCUCGACAUAGGGAUAGCGAUCCGGCGGCGGCGGCGGCGGCUACGGCGGCGGCGGCGGCGGCGGCGUUAGCUAACUUCUUAAAAGCUUUAUAUUUUAGAAGAUGGAAGACCUGGAUGCUUCAUACUUUGUAUAUGGAUGCCUCAUGUUACGAAGUUUCCGUCAGUCACAUGUCCAAUGUCCUUGACCUCAUUUUCAUGGUUCAGUGACUACUUGAAAAAAAAGUUCAGAUUUUUUGUAAUGUUAAAUUCUCUCUUAUUAUAAGUAAUAGGAUAACUAUAUUUGGUAUGUGCGUACCUUGCAAGGUCCUCAUGCCCGUCAGACAGUUUUCACUUGACCUCGACCUCAUUUCAUGGAUCAGUGAACAAGGUUAAGUUUUCGUGGUCAUGUCCAUAUCUCAGAUACUAUAAGCAAUAGGUCUAGUAUAUUCGGUGUAUGGAAGGACUGUAAGGUGUACAUGUCCAACUGGCAGGUGUCAUCUGACCUUGACCUCAUUUUCAUGGUUCAGUGGUUAUAGUUAAGUUUUUGUGUUUUGGUCUGUUUUUCUUAUACUGUAUGCAAUAGGUCUACUAUAUUUGGUGUAUGGAAUGAUUGUAAGGUGUACAUGUCUAGCUGGCAGGUGUCAUCUGACCUUGACCUCAUUUUCAUGGUUCAGUGGUCAAAGUUAAGUUUUUGAGUUUUGGUCUUUCUUUCUAAUACUGCAUGCAAUAGGUCAGCUAUAUUUGGUGUAUGGAAUGAUUGUAAGGUGUACAUGUCUAGCUGGCAGGUGUCAUCUUACCUUGACCUCAUUUUCAUGGUUCAGUGGUCAAAGUUAAGUUUUUGAGUUUUGGUCUUUUUUUCUAAUACUAUAUGCAAUAGUUCAACUAUAUUUGGUGUAUGGAAAUAUUUUAUGAUCUAUAUGUCAGUUACGCAGGUUUUAUUUGACCUUGACCUCAUUUUCAAGGUUCAUUGCUCAGUGUUAAGUUUUUGUGUUUUCGUCUGUUUUUCUUAAACUAUAAGCAAUAGGUCAACUAUAUUUGUUGUAUGGAAGAAUUGUUAGCUGUACAUGCCUGCCUAGCAUGGUUCAUCUGACCUUGACCUCAUUUUAAUGGUUCAUUGGUCAAUGUUUAGUUUACUUGGUUAAUGUUAAGUUUAUGUGACAGUUGUAAUAAAGCUUUAUAUUUAGGACUAUCAACAUAAUAUCAAUGAUUAGUAAAGAAGGCGAGACAUUUCAGCGUGUGCACUCUUGUUGUGUUAUUGGUAAAAAUAGCAAGUGCACUUUAUUUGCAUGCUACAGUUUUUUUUUUCCUCUUUAAAUAUCAUUGAUUUACCCUCAAUACCUUGCUUUCCUAUAGACUAGUUUUCUUAAUUACCUCAUACUUUUUAAAGAUCAAUCACAAAUUGGUAAUUUACUUCAACACUCUUGUUUCUUAUGGUUUUGUCUAUCAUUCUUUGAAAUUAGUGAUUUAUCCCUGGUAAUCUGGUUUUCUCUAGGUUUGUGUGUUACUGGACCUCUAUAAGAAUUAGUGAUUUAUCCCUGGUAAUCUGGUUUUCUCUAGGUUUGUGUGUUACUGGACCUCUAUAAGAAUUAGUGAUUUAUCCCUGGUAAUCUGGUUUUCUCUAGGUUUGUGUGUUACUGGACCUCUAUAAGAAUUAGUGAUUUAUCCCUGGUAAUCUGGUUUUCUCUAGGUUUGUGUGUUACUGGACCUCUAUAAGAAUUAGUGAUUUAUCCCUGGUAAUCUGGUUUUCUCUAGGUUUGUGUGUUACUCGACCUCUAUAAGAAUUAGUGAUUUAUCCCUGUUAAUCUGGUUUUCUCUAGGUUUGUGUGUUACUCGACCUCUAUAAGAAUUAGUGAUUUAUCCCUGUUAAUCUGGUUUUCUCUAGGUUUGUGUGUUACUCGA